AUUUUGAUACGACUACACGUGUUGCUUGGAAACUGUGUCUGUGAAUAUUCUCAAUUUUAUGAUCAGAAAUUCUGUAAGAACCGAAGUAUUAUAAAGAUUCAAUAAAGAAAGACUCGAGGGAACAGUUGGGUGAUAUUUUUAUCGAUAUUUAACCGUACGGGGAAAAGAUCAAAAGCUGAAACCAUGUCUACGAAAUGCGAGGUUUGUAACAAGGUAUUUUCUACGAAAGGAAAUUUGGUGGCACAGAAACGAGCACAUACUAGAGAGAAACCUUAUGAAUGUAAUGUUUGCAACAAAAGAUUUUCGCGGUCAGACGACUUAGCUAAACAUGAAAGAACACACACUGGAGACAAACCUUAUGAAUGUGAUGUUUGCAACAAAAGGUUUUCGUGGCCAGACGGGUUAGCUAGCCAUGAAAGAACACAUACUGGAGACAAACCUUAUGAAUGCGAUGUUUGCAACAAAAGAUUUUCACACUCGAGCACCCUAACUAAACAUAAGAGAACACACACUGGAGACAAACCUUAUGAAUGCGAUAUUUGUAAGAGGAAAUUUUCACAAUCUGGCAACUUAGCUUCCCAUAAAAGAACACACACUCGAGAGAAACCUUGUGAAUGUGAUGUUUGCAACAAAAGAUUUUUGCAUUCAGACUACUUAGCUGUUGAUAAGAGAACACAUACUGGAUACAGACCUUAUGAAUAUCACAUUUGGAACACAAAAUUUUCAUAAUCACACAGUUUAACACGACAUAAAAUAUCAGCACACAAGGUAAAGCAGUGUUUUGAGUGUGUUAAAUGUAAGAAAAUAUUCACAGAACGUAAAGGUCUCAAACGUCACUGGAGAGUACAUUCAAAAGAUGGCUAAUUAUUAUUCUGCAACAGUUGUGGCAGGGAAAUUAUUCAGUCACAAGGCCAAGGACAUGCUAAUGAGAAACUGAGUGUUGAUCAUUUUGUCUGUGAUAAAUGCGACAAACAGUUCCCUGAUAUUGAAAGUUUAUAUCAGCACAAGGCCAAAGACCAUCAUACGUCCUACCAAUGUGGUAUUGGUUAUUGUGCAACUGGUAUUGGUUAUGUCUGUUGUGUCUGUGAUGCCGAGUUUGAAAUUGCAACUGAACUUGAAGAUCAUACCGGUAUGAGAAUGCAUAACAAUGUGCUUCCCCACUAGCAAGACAAGAUAAAUUGAUACUAUUUUGGGUUUAUUAGGCUGUUGCAAUAUGAAAAACUCAAUAUAUUGAUAUUCAAACAAAAAUAUCGACUAUAUUGAAUUAUGAAAUUAGAAAACAUAGUUCAGUCAGCCUGCAUAUUUUAGGGGUUCCGGUUCUUUGUUGACAUGCACAAUUGAUAAACGUUAAACCAAUCACAGCACAGGAAAAAUUCAAUUUCCCCAGAGCCAAUGCCAUCCUAGCCCGCGCACAGGCAUUGCUCUGGGUGCGAGAUUGGCAUGUAUACCCACGUCACAGUGGGUGGAGCCUGGGUGCGAGCCUGCGAUGUUGCACUGGGUGGAUGGAUUAUAAAUAGCCUAUUAUAAUAACCCAUGGUAUUUCAUGUAACCGAAAAUUUGUAUUAUUAUAUUGUGCAGUUGGUUUUGAAAAUAAAAAAA
Paramuricea clavata is the source of this 1599-nucleotide non-coding RNA. NCBI's taxonomy places the organism in Eukaryota, Metazoa, Cnidaria, Anthozoa, Malacalcyonacea, Plexauridae. The record is from the annotation of a GenBank genome assembly.